Molecule: non-coding RNA, 1234 nt
Organism: Meleagris gallopavo (turkey)
Lineage: Eukaryota; Metazoa; Chordata; Aves; Galliformes; Phasianidae
Source: RefSeq, a predicted model, not a curated record
AAACCAUGUCCCUCAUUACAACAUCUUAAACGUUCCUUGAACACUUCCAGGGUCUGUGACUCCACCACCUCCCUGUGCGGCCCAUUCCAGCGCUUGACCCCUCUUUUGGAGAAGCUGUAUUUCCUAACCUACUCUAAAUUUGCAUUUAAAAAGGAUUCAUUGUAAGAACAGCCUGCAACCCUGUCUCUGAUGGAUUACAUUCAUACCUUGGGUAGCUAGCUGCAUCUUUCAAGCUCAGUUUUCUUGUUUUAAGACUAGCUUCUGUUGUGAGAACAGAACUUGCCAUGUGUUUCUUGAAGCUGUAUAGUAGUGCUCCUGUCUUUAACAUCUGAGCAUUCUACAUUGUAGCUGUGACAGCAGGUAUGGUUUCUAGUUUGAAAAAAAAAAAAAGUAAAAAAAACAAACUCUAGAAGGACAGUGUUCAUACAUAUUUCACUGUUAGCUCAUUUAUCCAAACGCAUUUAAAAUAUUGCCAAAAAGCCUUGGUCAUUCUCUUUUUCUGUUGUUAAUGCAGAAUCCCUUCAGUACUUCUUCAAAAUAGUCUAAUUAUUAAAGUACAACCAUUUUUCAAACUGAAAUUUGAGAAGAAUUGUGCUAAAUUACUCUGCAAGGAUGGUAGUGUGCAGUAAGUGCUAUAGAGAUCAUUUGCAUUUUUGGAUGAGUAAUUAGUAUUAAAUGAAAUUAAGUGAAUUAUAUACAAUUUUCAUUUCAUUUCAUACAAUUUAUAUACCUUACAGAACAUGAGGGUUUUUUCAGAUUGUUGUUCUUUAACUUUUAUGGACCUGAAAUAAUGACAUUUCAGAUAUAAGAGAAAACUGCAUUAUGGGUUUUGGGGAAGGCAGAGUUAAAAUUCAUAAGUACAGGUUUGUGAGUAGUAAAAGAUAUGCCAUAUUUUUUUCUUAUUCAAAAUACUAAUCUAAAUGUCAGUUUGGAGUUCAUAAUUCUUAAAAAUGUUAGUAUGUUUUUUCUGAUCUAGUUUUUCACAAAGAGUCUCAUAGUUCCUUCUCCUUGGACUGAACAUGAAGACAAGCAAGUUUCACAGUUUAAUUCAACAAAAUUCCAGACUACAUGAUUUUCUGCAGAUCUGUUUGCGUGAAAACAGCCUAUCCAAGGUAGAGGAGUGGACAAAGUUUUGGGCAAAGUGAUGCUCCUUCACAAAGCUUCCAGAAAGCCAUAGAUCUAAAUAACAUUUCUCCAAUUGGAAGACAACUAACUUUGCCUGGGAAAAGCAAUG